RNAcentral lists this ribosomal RNA (652 nucleotides) under Fastosarion alyssa. Its description in RNAcentral is "partial 16S large subunit ribosomal RNA". The stretch from base 197 to 393 matches the Rfam family "Bacterial large subunit ribosomal RNA", at positions 1704 to 2025 of the family's 2925-position model. Lineage: Eukaryota; Metazoa; Mollusca; Gastropoda; Stylommatophora; Helicarionidae. The record is from RNAcentral.
GAAUAAAUUUUAAAUAAAGAAAUAGUUAAGAUUUCAUUAAUUAUAGAAUAUUAAGUAUAGUUUAGGUGUGAAUUAAUCUUCCAAUAUAUAAAUUUAAUAAUAAUAACUUAUUUAAUGUAUCUUUAUAUUAAAAUUAUCUUUUCUAUAAUUAAUUAGAAAAUUAAUAAUGUUAAAAUUAGUAAUUUUAAUAUUUUAAAUUAAGGAACUCGGCAAAUUAUUAUUCAACUGUUUAUCAAAAACAUAGUCUUAUGUACUCCAUAUAAGGUGAAACCUGCCCAUUGAUUUUUAUGAAUUUAACGGCCGCAGUACCUUGACUGUGCUAAGGUAGCAUAAUAAAUUGACUCUUAAUUGGGGCCUUGAAUGAAUGGAUUUAUGAAUAAUUUCUGUCUUAAUAUAAUUAAAAUUAAAUUACUUAAAAGGUGAAAAUUCCUUUAAAUUUAUAUAAUAGACGAGAAGACCCUAGGAGUUUUAUUUUUGUUGGGGCGACAGUAUAACAUUAUAACUUAUAUAUUUAUAAUUAUUAUUAAACGAAUUAUUUUAAUAGUAAAGAAACUACCCUAGGGAUAACAGCAUAAUUUUUAAAAAGUUUGUGACCUCGAUGUUGGACUAGGAACUUUUAAUAUUAACAAUAUUAAUUGGUAGUUCUGUUCGA